AUUAACCUGAAAUGUGCGGCAACUCCUGUUGUUUUGAACCUACAGAUACUUUAAACGGGAUUCCUACAUUGCCAAGCGGCUGUCAAGCCUCCACUCGUAAGAGGAUUGCAGGGGAAGGCAAAAGCUUUGGUUGCGGUUACCCACCUAGCAUAGCUAGGAGUCAAAAGACAGGAAUCGGCAUUUUGGGGAUAUA
This 193-nucleotide non-coding RNA is filed under the name Bacillota bacterium. RNAcentral's name for it is "6S RNA". It matches the Rfam family "6S / SsrS RNA". Rfam says of the family: E. coli 6S RNA was the first non coding RNA to be sequenced, but its function was unknown until recently. It consists of 184 nucleotides that fold into an extended hairpin structure with a large single-stranded internal bulge. Lineage: Bacteria; Bacillati; Bacillota. The record is from RNAcentral.